AGCGAACGCUGGCGGCAGGCCUAACACAUGCAAGUCGAACGAACCUACCGGGGUUAGUGGCGGUUACGUGAGGAACACGUGGGACCGUGCCUGUAGGUACCGAAUACUUCAGGGUAACUUGUGCUAAUACCGAAUGUGUCCCUCGGGGGAAAGAUUCAUCGGCGUUAGAGCGGCCCGCGUAUGUUUAGCUUGUUGGUUUUGGAAAUGGCGCACUAAGGCGACGUUCUGUAGGUGGUCUGUGAGGCAGAUCAGCAACAUUGAGACAGAGCCACAGUCCAAACUCCUACGGGAGGGAGCAGUGGGGAAUCUUGCGAUAUGGGCUAAAGGCUGACGCAGUCAUGCCGCGUGAAUGAUGUAGGUCUUAGGAAGGUAAAAUUCUUUCACCGGGGACGGUAAUGACGGUACCCGGAGAAGAAGCCCCGGCUAACUUCGUG
Molecule: ribosomal RNA, 434 nt
Filed under: uncultured bacterium
Lineage: Bacteria
Description: partial 16S ribosomal RNA
Rfam family: Bacterial small subunit ribosomal RNA
Source: RNAcentral